This 331-nucleotide ribosomal RNA is filed under the name Spathosternum prasiniferum prasiniferum. RNAcentral describes it as "partial 12S ribosomal RNA". The record is from RNAcentral. Lineage: Eukaryota; Metazoa; Arthropoda; Insecta; Orthoptera; Acrididae.
AUUAGUUAAGGUCUUUAAACCCAAAGAAUUUGGCGGUACCUUAUUCCAUUCAGAGGAACCUACCCUAUAAUUGAUAGUACACGAUUAGCUUUACUUAAUUUAUUUGUUUGUAUAUCUCCGUUAAUCAGAAGAUCUUUUUAGAGUUAUAAUUUUCUUGAAUUAUAAUUAUAAUUUAUUUCAGGUCAAGGUGCAGCUUAUAAUUAAGAAGAGGUGGGUUACAAUAGAUUAUUGUUUAUAAUGGAUUUAAUUUUUAAAAUUUUAAUGAAGGUGGAUUUGAUAGUAAUUUAAUUUAUUUAAUUUAAUUGAUAUUGGCUCUGAGGUGUGUACACAU